RNAcentral lists this ribosomal RNA (973 nucleotides) under uncultured bacterium. RNAcentral's name for it is "bacterial SSU rRNA". It matches the Rfam family "Bacterial small subunit ribosomal RNA", at positions 8 to 978 of the family's 1533-position model. The record is from RNAcentral.
AGAGUUUGAUCAUGGCUCAGAUUGAACGCUGGCGGCAGGCCUAACACAUGCAAGUCGAGCGGUAACAGGGGUAGCUUGCUACUCGCUGACGAGCGGCGGACGGGUGAGUAAUGCAUAGGAAUCUGCCCGAUAGUGGGGGAUAACCUGGGGAAACCCAGGCUAAUACCGCAUACGUCCUACGGGAGAAAGGGGGCUUUGGCUCCCGCUAUUGGAUGAGCCUAUGUCGGAUUAGCUAGUUGGUAAGGUAAUGGCUUACCAAGGCAACGAUCCGUAGCUGGUCUGAGAGGAUGAUCAGCCACAUCGGGACUGAGACACGGCCCGAACUCCUACGGGAGGCAGCAGUGGGGAAUAUUGGACAAUGGGGGCAACCCUGAUCCAGCCAUGCCGCGUGUGUGAAGAAGGCCCUCGGGUUGUAAAGCACUUUCAGCGAGGAAGAACGCCUGUCGGUUAAUACCCGGUAGGAAAGACAUCACUCGCAGAAGAAGCACCGGCUAACUCCGUGCCAGCAGCCGCGGUAAUACGGAGGGUGCAAGCGUUAAUCGGAAUUACUGGGCGUAAAGCGCGCGUAGGUGGCUUGAUAAGCCGGUUGUGAAAGCCCCGGGCUCAACCUGGGAACGGCAUCCGGAACUGUCAGGCUAGAGUGCAGGAGAGGAAGGUAGAAUUCCCGGUGUAGCGGUGAAAUGCGUAGAGAUCGGGAGGAAUACCAGUGGCGAAGGCGGCCUUCUGGACUGACACUGACACUGAGGUGCGAAAGCGUGGGUAGCAAACAGGAUUAGAUACCCUGGUAGUCCACGCCGUAAACGAUGUCGACCAGCCGUUGGGUGCCUAGAGCACUUUGUGGCGAAGUUAACGCGAUAAGUCGACCGCCUGGGGAGUACGGCCGCAAGGUUAAAACUCAAAUGAAUUGACGGGGGCCCGCACAAGCGGUGGAGCAUGUGGUUUAAUUCGAUGCAACGCGAAGAACCUUACCUAC